This 89-nucleotide ribosomal RNA is filed under the name Sinocyclocheilus grahami. Lineage: Eukaryota; Metazoa; Chordata; Actinopteri; Cypriniformes; Cyprinidae. The record is from RNAcentral.
UCCAUUAAUCCCUCCCUCCCUCCCCAGGGUUGAACCUGGUUAGUACCUGGAUGGGAGACCUCCUGGGAAAAACUAGGUUGCUGCUGGAA